UACGGGGGGGGCAAGCGUUGUUCGGAAUCACUGGGCGUAAAGGGUGCGUAGGCGGCACGGUAAGUCAGAGGUGAAAUCCCGGAGCUCAACUUCGGAAUUGCCUCCGAUACUGCCGUGCUUGAGGACUGGAGAGGAGAUUGGAAUUCACAGUGGAGCAGUGAAAUGCGUAGAUAUUGUGAGGAACACUAGUGGCGAAGGCGAAUCUCUGGACAGUUCCUGACGCUGAGGCACGAAGGCCAGGGGAGCAAACGGG
Molecule: ribosomal RNA, 253 nt
Filed under: uncultured bacterium
Lineage: Bacteria
Description: partial 16S ribosomal RNA
Rfam family: Bacterial small subunit ribosomal RNA
Source: RNAcentral